This 490-nucleotide ribosomal RNA is filed under the name uncultured bacterium. RNAcentral's name for it is "partial 16S ribosomal RNA". It matches the Rfam family "Bacterial small subunit ribosomal RNA", at positions 30 to 507 of the family's 1533-position model. The record is from RNAcentral.
AUUGAACGCUGGCGGCAGGCUUAACACAUGCAAGUCGAGCGGUAGCACAGGGGAGCUUGCUCCCUGGGGGACGAGCGGCGGACGGGUGAGUAAUGUCUGGGAAACUGCCUGAUGGAGGGGGAUAACUACUGGAAACGGUAGCUAAUACCGCAUAACGUCGCAAGACCAAAGAGGGGGACCUUCGGGCCUCUUGCCAUCAGAUGUGCCCAGAUGGGAUUAGCUAGUAGGUGGGGUAAUGGCUCACCUAGGCGACGAUCCCUAGCUGGUCUGAGAGGAUGACCAGCCACACUCGAACUGAGACACGGUCCAGACUCCUACGGGAGGCAGCAGUGGGGAAUAUUGCACAAUGGGCGCAAGCCUGAUGCAGCCAUGCCGCGUGUGUGAAGAAGGCCUUCGGGUUGUAAAGCACUUUCAGCGAGGAGGAAGGUGGUGAGCUUAAUACGUUCAUCAAUUGACGUUACUCGCAGAAGAAGCACCGGCUAACUCCGUG